RNAcentral lists this ribosomal RNA (497 nucleotides) under uncultured bacterium. RNAcentral's name for it is "partial 16S ribosomal RNA". It matches the Rfam family "Bacterial small subunit ribosomal RNA", at positions 28 to 507 of the family's 1533-position model. The record is from RNAcentral.
GAUGAACGCUGGCGGCGUGCCUAAUACAUGCAAGUCGAGCGAACAGAUAAGGAGCUCGCUCCUUUGACGUUAGCGGCGGACGGGUGAGUAACACGUGGGUAACCUACCUAUAAGACUGGGAUAACUUCGGGAAACCGGAGCUAAUACCGGAUAACAUUUGGAACCGCAUGGUUCUAAAGUGAAAGAUGGUUUUGCUAUCACUUAUAGAUGGACCCGCGCCGUAUUAGCUAGUUGGUAAGGUAACGGCUUACCAAGGCAACGAUACGUAGCCGACCUGAGAGGGUGAUCGGCCGCACUGGAACUGAGACACGGUCCAGACUCCUACGGGAGGCAGCAGUAGGGAAUCUUCCGCAAUGGGCGAAAGCCUGACGGAGCAACGCCGCGUGAGUGAUGAAGGGUUUCGGCUCGUAAAACUCUGUUAUUAGGGAAGAACAAACGUGUAAGUAACUGUGCACGUCUUGACGGUACCUAAUCAGAAAGCCACGGCUAACUACGUG